This 234-nucleotide long non-coding RNA is filed under the name Nicotiana benthamiana. RNAcentral describes it as "long non-coding RNA (NBEN_LNC029676)". Lineage: Eukaryota; Viridiplantae; Streptophyta; Magnoliopsida; Solanales; Solanaceae. The record is from RNAcentral.
CAUGUGAUUCGCGAAGGAAAGACAAGUCUUGACCUCUGUGAAGGGUAAUUUGUGCACGUAUGAAUAUUGCACGGCAUGUGAGAGUCAACUUUUGAGGCAAAGAUUGUUCACUACUUGGCGUAACAUUGGUGAUUUAUUUUUGGUGUGAUACGUUAAAGGAAAAAGCUUAGUGAAGGAACCUCUAUAGAGUGUGGUGGAUUGCUCGAGGACUAACAGUGAAUUAAGUGUGGGGUG